AUAAUAAAUAGUUUCUUAAUUAGAAACUGGUAUGAAAGAUUGAAUAAAAUAUAAACUGUCUAAAAUUUAUUUUAUAAAAAUUAAAUUUUAAAUUAAAAUGUUUAAAUAUAUUUAAGGGACGAUAAGACCCUAUAGAUCUUUAUAAAAUUUUACUAUAUAAAUAUUUUUAUUAAAAAAUUUUAUAUGCUAAUUUUAUUUGACUGGGGUUGUUAAAAAAUUUAAAUAAAUUUUUUUUUAAAUUAACAUUAAUUAAUGAAAUUAAGUAAUAUAAAUUAUAUAAUAUAAAUAAGUUACCUUAGGGAUAACAGCGUAAUAAUCUUUAAUAGUUCCUAUUAAAAAGAUUGGUUGC
This 349-nucleotide ribosomal RNA is filed under the name Gasteruption sp. JC17. RNAcentral's name for it is "partial 16S ribosomal RNA". The record is from RNAcentral. Lineage: Eukaryota; Metazoa; Arthropoda; Insecta; Hymenoptera; Gasteruptiidae.